This is a long non-coding RNA of Entelurus aequoreus (snake pipefish), 670 nucleotides long. RefSeq lists it as uncharacterized. The record is from RefSeq and is a predicted model, not a curated record. The transcript has 4 exons. Lineage: Eukaryota; Metazoa; Chordata; Actinopteri; Syngnathiformes; Syngnathidae.
GGCGGAAGUCGAGUACGGCACGGAAUCGAGGUGUGUCGAAAGGUCUCGGCGUGAGGUCCCAGAGCCUGAGGGUCUGCGUCUUUGAUGAACCAGACAACCUCAUCUACGCCCCAGCUGGACGGGUCUUUCCCCGCAGGACGGUCUACCGCCUCGGCCACGGCACUGACCUGUGGCGUUGCUGAGUGUGGCACGAUGGCGGCGUCCUGUGGGAGGGAGCCCAGCUCUGGUUCUGGUGUGCUGCUGGGAGGCAUCUUGAGGGCCGACAGAGAUGCCACGUAAAGGUCCUGAAAGUCUAUCUUUCGGCUGGGGGGCCGCCCCCUCUUCCUGCCAGUCACCUUACCCAGGGGCCCCGCCGCUGGGAACUGGGCGCCAAGAGCUGGAGUCUGCAUCUCCGCAGCUUCUGACAGGCCGCUCAUCAGACCUGAGGUAGACACACAAAGGUGUGCACGUCUGAAGUAGACACAAACGUUCACACACAUGAGGUACAGGCACACAAAUAUGUGCACGAAAGUCACCCAGCACCAUGCCCCCAAACCACCACCCCCACUUACACAACUGUAGUAAAUACCCCAAACAAAGCCGCAUAAUGCUUUGUACUUCACAGUACCCUCCCCCCAUCUUUCUGCUGCUGCUGCUGCAAGCAGUGCAAUAAAUACUGUUAGCGAGCACA